AAUCGACCUCAAAUCAGAUGGGAUUACCCGCUGAACUUAAGCAUAUCAA
This 49-nucleotide ribosomal RNA is filed under the name Wallemia sebi. RNAcentral's name for it is "partial 28S ribosomal RNA". The record is from RNAcentral. RNAcentral also lists the same sequence under 2 other names. Lineage: Eukaryota; Fungi; Basidiomycota; Wallemiomycetes; Wallemiales; Wallemiaceae.